ACAGGGAUUGCCCUAGUAACGGCGAGUGAAGCGGCAACAGCUCAAAUUUGAAAUCUGGCGUCUUUGGCGUCCGAGUUGUAAUUUGCAGAGGGCGCUUUGGCAUUGGCAGCGGUCCAAGUUCCUUGGAACAGGACGUCACAGAGGGUGAGAAUCCCGUACGUGGUCGCUAGCCUUUACCGUGUAAAGCCCCUUCGACGAGUCGAGUUGUUUGGGAAUGCAGCUCUAAAUGGGAGGUAAAUUUCUUCUAAAGCUAAAUACUGGCCAGAGACCGAUAGCGCACAAGUAGAGUGAUCGAAAGAUGAAAAGCACUUUGGAAAGAGAGUUAAAAAGCACGUGAAAUUGUUGAAAGGGAAGCGCUUGCAGCCAGACUUGCCUGUAGUUGCUCAUCCGGGUUUCUACCCGGUGCACUCUUCUAUAGGCAGGCCAGCAUCAGUUUGGGCGGUUGGAUAAAGGUCUCUGUCAUGUACCUCCUUUCGGGGAGAACUUAUAGGGGAGACGACAUGCAACCAGCCCGGACUGAGGUCCGCGCAUCUGCUAGGAUGCUGGCGUAAUGGCUGUAAGCGGCCCGUCUUGAAACACGGACCAAGGAGUCUAACAUCUAUGCGAGUGUUUGGGUGUCAAGCCCGAGCGCGUAAUGAAAGUGAACGGAGGUGGGAACCUUUCGGGGUGCACCAUCGACCGAUCCUGAUGUCUUCGGAUGGAUUUGAGUAAGAGCAUAGCUGUUGGGACCCGAAAGAUGGUGAACUAUGCUUGAAUAGGGUGAAGCCAGAGGAAACUCUGGUGGAGGCUCGCAGCGGUUCUGACGUGCAAAUCGAUCGUCAAAUUUGG
This 828-nucleotide ribosomal RNA is filed under the name Leptosphaerulina trifolii. RNAcentral describes it as "partial large subunit ribosomal RNA". It matches the Rfam family "Eukaryotic large subunit ribosomal RNA", at positions 68 to 914 of the family's 3401-position model. Lineage: Eukaryota; Fungi; Ascomycota; Dothideomycetes; Pleosporales; Didymellaceae. The record is from RNAcentral.